RNAcentral lists this ribosomal RNA (241 nucleotides) under uncultured bacterium. RNAcentral describes it as "partial 16S ribosomal RNA". It matches the Rfam family "Bacterial small subunit ribosomal RNA", at positions 135 to 377 of the family's 1533-position model. The record is from RNAcentral.
AAAAAAAAAUAACUUCAGGAAACUGGGGAUAAUACAGGAUAGGAGCUCCUGCUGCAUGGUGGGGGUUGGAAAGUUUCGGCGGUUGGGGAUGGACUCGCGGCUUAUCAGCUUGUGUGUGGGGUAGUGGCUUACCAAGGCGUUGACGGGUCGCCGGCCUGAGAGGGUGACCGGCGACAUGAGGACUGAGAUACGGCCCAGACUCCAACGUGCCGCAGCAGUGGAGAAUAUUGCUCUAUUUUUU